RNAcentral lists this ribosomal RNA (468 nucleotides) under uncultured bacterium. RNAcentral's name for it is "partial 16S ribosomal RNA". It matches the Rfam family "Bacterial small subunit ribosomal RNA", at positions 28 to 507 of the family's 1533-position model. The record is from RNAcentral.
GACGAACGCUGGCGGCGUGCUUAACACAUGCAAGUCGAACGGAAAGGCCCUGCUUUUGUGGGGUGCUCGAGUGGCGAACGGGUGAGUAACACGUGAGUAACCUGCCCUUGACUUUGGGAUAACUUCAGGAAACUGAGGCUAAUACCGGAUAGGAGCUCCUGCUGCAUGGUGGGGGUUGGAAAGUUUCGGCGGUUGGGGAUGGACUCGCGGCUUAUCAGCUUGUUGGUGGGGUAGUGGCUUACCAAGGCUUUGACGGGUAGCCGGCCUGAGAGGGUGACCGGCCACAUUGGGACUGAGAUACGGCGCAGACUCCUACGGGAGGCAGCAGUGGGGAAUAUUGCACAAUGGGCGGAAGCCUGAUGCAGCAACGCCGCGUGCGGGAUGACGGCCUUCGGGUUGUAAACCGCUUUCGCCUGUGACGAAGCGUGAGUGACGGUAAUGGGUAAAGAAGCACCGGCUAACUACGUG